This is a long non-coding RNA of Canis lupus familiaris (dog), 2464 nucleotides long. RefSeq lists it as uncharacterized. The record is from RefSeq and is a predicted model, not a curated record. The transcript is spliced from 3 exons. Lineage: Eukaryota; Metazoa; Chordata; Mammalia; Carnivora; Canidae.
GUGGCCAGCGCGCGUGCGCACCGAGGAUGCUCUGGAAAGCCCGCGGCCGAGGCGGGGCUGGGAGUUGCGGCGUUUGUCUCUGGCGGAGGGAGACUCGGCUUCUCGGGCGAAUCUGGCUUUGGGCCUGGGGUUGGUCGUAAAAAUCGUAGUAAUUAAUUCUAGCGGGCUACUGUGUCUUGAACACCUUUUACAUUUAUUGGCUUGUUUAGUCUUCACAUCCCCCUUCCUGAAAGUGAAUUUGAACUGUGGUUGUUGCCUGGACUCGGCAUUCAAAUGCGACAAACUGACCGCUGGUUGUAGAAAUGUCUUGAAGAUGCUGAAGAACAAACAGAAUUCACAGAAUGGAAGAAACUUUCACCAUAUACAAUGAUUUGGAAUGCCAGUUUCACUGCAGAGUCUUCUAGAAUCUAGAAUAACCUUACAGGUUAUAACUUGGCUGAGAGGGAGUAUUCUGAGUAUUCUACCAGGUGAGACACAGUGACCACCAGCCCUGUUACCCAAGGAGGAAAUAAAUAUUGCUUUUCUUAUUGACUACCUCAAAAAAGUGUCUUAUGGCUAGUUGGGAGAAUCAGAUGAACCUUGUAGUCAGGUAGAGCAAUGUCUGCAUGGGGAGGACAGUCUGAGCAUCGCCCUUCAGAGCUACGGAUUGAUGACAGCAAAAGCCUAAAGAGUAUAUGAAAGACCCUGAGUUGCUCUGUGACAUUGAACAGUAAUUUCACCCCUUCUGGGACUCAGUUUUCUGAUACAUAAAAUAAUAAUUUCUGAGGUUCUUUUUAGUUUCUCCUUUUCCUUCUCACCCUUUUGAUGAUGCCCACAAUUUAUUGAUAAAAUCCUAACUGCACCAUGCAGGAUGGAUAGAUUACCUUGGUGAACACAGGGGCCACAACAUAGGUGGAUCCGGACAGGCUACUGCAGGGACUCUGCAUCUGGUUUAAGAAAAAGAGACCCUCUCAUCCAUACGGCCAAGGCCCUGAGACCUAGGAGGAUCGUGCUAAUGAGCCAACCGAAUCAGUAGUUGGUAGUAGUUGCACCCAGUGAGUUUUAGCUGCUACCAGUGGGUAGUAGUUGCACCCAGUGAGUUUUAGCAUGCUACCAGCCAUACCCCAAGUGUCCUCUUUGAAAAGGAUAAUGCUUUUAAUUUAAAUGUCAUUUUGCUUAUCUGCUCCAGUGCCACCCUUUUUACCUCCCUGUCCUCCAUCAUUCCAUUAGCUGAGAUGGUGAAAUAUAACACCGAGCAAUUAAUUUGAGAAAUGAACUUUGGCAGUUAUUUAGAGACUGUAUGUAAAAGGCAUAAAUAACUUGUAAAUUUGACUGACUAGAUAUUUUCCCCCUAGAUUUUUAUACAGUUGCUCUUGUCUGUUAGGUUUCUGUAAAAGCAUCUCCCCUCCCCCACUUUUUAAUUAAAAGGGAAUUCAUUCCAUGAAUAGUUGCAAUGCUCUGUUAUGGACUAAACUCCUAGAAACCAACUGUCUUAUGGUUUGGCACAUAGACAAAUGGUCAACCCACAGAACUACCAUGGAGUUAUUUCUGAGAUCAAUGAAUUUCUUUUCUUAUUCUAUUUGAGGUCAUACAGCUGGAGGCUCUGUUCAUGUAUGCUUUUCAAGAAAGUUACAUUGAUUCCUUUUUCUCUGGGCCUCUGUCUCCAUUACUGGGACCUCUCAGAAGGCUUUUUAAAACUGAACAUACCCUUUGGGAGUCAAUACACAAUGGUUGAACUAAGGUAGAGUAACUUGAUCUGAUGUUGGAGGUUUCAUUAACCAGGGAACCGAUGGUCAAAGAAACUCUAGUGGUUUUCUUCUUUAUCCUAUUGUGGAAACAAAACCAAACACAGUCCGGUGAAAGAUUAGAGGCAGCUUUGAUAGAAAUGCCUCACUGUAUUCAUUUGGCAUGUAUCACAUUUUUACUUAUAGUCCUUAUUUUUUUGAUUUGCAUAAUAAUUUCCAUUUUUUUCUUUUUGAACAGCUAGUGGAUUAUAGUUCUUAAUAGUUUUGCUUUAAAUUUUAUAUGUCUUAGUCUGAUAAUCAGUGAGCUGUUACUAAACACAAAUUAUGCAGAAGAAAUAAUAUAUAAGGCAAAUAAUCACUUUAAAAUUUGGGAAAUUUUAGGGUUUUUUUUGGUUAUUUUUUCAAAGUAGAAUUUCCUGUAUAUUCGUAUGACAACAAAUGCACAUUCACAUGCAUGUUCUAUACUUACUCUGACAUUUCUGUAGCAUAUUCCAAGCACAAUUAGAGAAAUGUUUUCUUCCCACUUCCCUUCUAAGAAAGAGAAAAAAGAAAAUUCUGUGUGGAUCUCCUUGUAAUUUAAUAAACCGUGGUUCCACUUGUAUUGUAUGCACAGUACAACUAGCAAAUUAGUUAGUUACAGGCAGCAGAUCAAUCCAGAAUGUCUGAAUUCUUUUUUUUUUAAUUUAUUUUUUAUUGGUGUUCAAUUUACUAACAUACAGAAUAACCCCCAGUGCCCGUCA